Molecule: ribosomal RNA, 186 nt
Filed under: uncultured bacterium
Lineage: Bacteria
Description: partial 16S ribosomal RNA
Rfam family: Bacterial small subunit ribosomal RNA
Source: RNAcentral
GCCUGCAUGAAGUCGGAAUUGCUAGUAAUCGCGGAUCAGCAUGCCGCGGUGAAUACGUUCCCGGGCCUUGUACACACCGCCCGUCACACCAUGGGAGCCGGUAAUACCCGAAGUCAGUAGUCCAACCUCGUGAGGACGCUGCCGAAGGUAGGAUUGGCGACUGGGGUGAAGUCGUAACAAGGUACC